UUAACAGUACUGAUUCCCUUAAGUAAACAUUACAUAUCAUCUUUCGUUCUUUUGAAAUAAGUUAAACACUCAUCCAAACUAUGCAAAAACUGCCUUGAAAUGUUUCUAAUGCAAUUCUAACGUUUACUUAUGGUAGACGCAUACCUUUUAAGGAUUUGAACAGUUUAAAUUCAGGAACGAAAUUCAGUACGCGCUACGCCUAUGUAGAUAGUGUUCACAAGGAUAUUUAUGAAUAAACUGGCAUUUUGAAUGCUUUAUAAAGGUUUUGAAACUCAAACUAGUUAAAAUUCGUUUCUGUACAUACUUCUGUUUUCAAGGUAUAUGACGCUUUGGCCGAGAGUUGCCUUGUAAAAUUACACAUAAAAUUUACCGUAAAAUAUGUAGUUUUUAGAGAUAUAUAUGUAUUCUAAUUUUUGUUUUUUCAAAUCGAAUCAAAUUGUUUUCUUUUUACAAGAAUAGUUCUUGUUUAUCUGUGAUACGUUUUAUCUAAUACAUGAGUUUUUUGCGAUACACUUGAGGAACGUAAACAUAAAGCUUUGUUAGUAUACAUGUACAAUAGUUCCUGGUAUUAAUGGCAGUAUAUCUGUACAAUAGUUCCUGGUAUUGAUGGCAGUAUAUCUGUACUAAAGUUCCUGGUAUUGAUGGCAGUAUAUCUGUACAAUAGUUCCUGGUAUUGAUGGCAGUAUAUCUGUUCUAUAUUUCCUGGUAUUGAUGGCAGUAUAUCUGUACUAUAGUUCCUGGUAUUGAUGGCAGUAUAUCUGUACUAUAGUUCUUGGUAUUGAUGGCAGUAUAUCUGUACUAUAGUUCCUGGUAUUGAUGGCAGUAUAUCUUUAAUAUAGUUCCAGGCAUUGAUAGCAGUAUAUAUGUACUAUAGUUCCUGGUAUUGAUGGCAGUAUAGGUUUCCUCACUCAUGACUUAUUGGAUAAACCUGCUAGGAGUUGGUUAACAUUAGUGGGUAAUACCCUGGAUCUGACUUAAUUGGUCAAUCUGUGAUUUAUGAUGACGUUACAAUGCUUUUCGACGUCUUUUUCCAUUGUGACGUCAUGUUCUAUGACAAUUGAUUCCCCAAUCCGAAACAAACAUGAUGUAUUUCCCAAGGGAAAAAAUGUGAGUUUUCAGAUAAAAUACGAAUGUGACGGGAGAAACAGGUCCCAAAAUUCGUGAUAAUUAUUUAUCCCGUUUAUUUAACGCUCGUUUAACCUCGUGUCUUUAUACAGUUUAAACUAACUCGAGUUAGAAGAACAUGAUAUCCAUCCAUCACUCGUUUGGGAACCUCUCUCUGUCCUAUCGUUGAUUGAAGUAUAUAAUUAUGUUCUACCAUUCAUGGAGGUAUAUAUAUACUCUAUCGUUGAUGGAUGUAUGUAUGAACUAUCAUUGAUUGAAGUAUAUAUAUACUCUAUCGUUGAUGGAGGUAUAUAUGUACUAUCAUUGAUGGAGGUAUAUAUGGUCUAUCAUUGAUGGAGGUAUAUAUGUACUAUCAUUGAUGGAGGUAUAUAUGUACUAUCAUUAAUGGAGGUAUAUGUGUACUAUCAUUGAUGGAAGUAUAUAUGUACUAUCAUUGAUGGAGGUAUAUUUGGUCUAUCAUUGAUGGAGGUUUAUAUGUACUAUCAUUGAUGGAGGUAUAUAUGUACUAUCAUUGAUGGAGGUAUAUAUGUGCUAUAAUUGAUGGAAGUAUAUAUGUACUAUCAUUGAUGGAGGUAUAUAUGUACUAAAAUUGAUGUAGGUAUAUAUGUACUAUCAUUGAUGGAAGUACAUCUGUACUAUCAUUGAUGGAGGUAUAUGUGUACUAUCAUUGAUGGAAAUUUAUAUGUACUAUCAUUGACAGAGUUAUAUGUACUAUCGUUGAUGGAGGUAUAUGUGUACUAUCAUUGAUGGAGGUAUAUAUGGUCUAUCAUUGAUGGAAGUAUAUAUGGUCUAUCAUUGAUGGAAGUAUAUAUGUACUAUCGUUGAUGGAGGUAUAUAUGUUCUAUCGUUGAUGGAGGUAUAUAUGGUCUAUCAGUGAUGGAAGUAUAUAUGUACUAUCGUUGAUGGAGGUAUAUAUGUACUAUCGUUGAUGGAAGUAUAUAUGUACUAUCAUUGAUGGAGGUAUAUAUGUACUAUCAUUGAUGGAGGUAUAUAUGUGCUAUCGUUGAUGGAGGUAUAUAUGGUCUAUCAUUGAUGGAAGUAUAUAUAUACUCUAUCGUUGAUGGAGGUAUAUAUGUACUAUCAUUGAUGGAGGUAUAUAUGUACUAUCGUUGAUGGAGGUAUAUAUGUUCUAUCGUUGAUGGAGGUAUAUAUGUUCUAUAAUUGAUGGAGGUAUAUAUUUACUAUCGUGAAUGGAAGUUUACUUUUAAUAUCAUUGAUGAAGUAGAUAUGUUGAUGAUGUACUGUGAUAUUGAGGGAAAUAUACAUGUACUAUUCUUGAUUCAUGUGUAAAUGUAAUUUCGUUGAUAGAUUAUGCAUGUAUGAUCGUUAAUGAAGUAUACAAGCACUAUCGGUAAUGAAGUAUUAAUUUGCUGUCGUCGCUGGCACUAACUCUAACAUACAUGUUGAUAGCAUUGACGGAGGAAUUACGAUUAUACGCAUCAAGAAAUGUUGUCUAAGAUAUUUCUGAUGUGGACACUUAAUCAACGUGACAUUAAUGACAUAUGAAAAAGAUAGUUAUAUUAAAAUGAAAAAAAACAUGUAUUUUUUAAGAAAUAUUUGUUACUGUUGAAGAGAUGUUCAUAUGAAAUCUAUGAUGCACUGGCCUGAUCUCAAAAUGCCUCUUACGCAAUUAAUGAAUGACAGAAUCUUGCAAUAAAAGUUUUGAUUCAUCAAAUGCUACAAAGACUAGAUACUAGGUUAAAAUUGGAUAAAACUAUUGAAUGAUUCAAAUGCAACAUUAAAAAAGUAAUAUAUUAAAUAAUGAUAACAUUUUUGCUUCAUUAAUUUUGUAAAAACAGGGCACAAUUUUCUAUUUCUAGAUGUAAGACUAUGAAUCAAUGACAAUUGCUUGUUCUCGACAAAGACGUUGUUUGCAGAGUCAGUGGCGUAAGAGAUCAAGUGCGGAGAUGGAUGAACAUAACUGCGUUCUACCAAUACAAUAGUAUAUAAGGUGCGGAACUGCGAUCAGCGUAUGCUUUUAUUUUGUGUUUACUUUUUAUUCUGUAUAUUGUUUAGCUAUUACAUGACGUGCGAUACUAAUGGGAGAGUUUCUUUCGAUAGAACGCAAACUAUAAUGUCAUUUUUAUUUUUCACGAUAACCAUUUUGUG
This 3234-nucleotide long non-coding RNA is filed under the name Mizuhopecten yessoensis (Yesso scallop). Its description in RNAcentral is "uncharacterized LOC110459665". The record is from RNAcentral. Lineage: Eukaryota; Metazoa; Mollusca; Bivalvia; Pectinida; Pectinidae.